RNAcentral lists this ribosomal RNA (497 nucleotides) under uncultured bacterium. RNAcentral's name for it is "partial 16S ribosomal RNA". It matches the Rfam family "Bacterial small subunit ribosomal RNA", at positions 28 to 507 of the family's 1533-position model. The record is from RNAcentral.
GAUGAACGCCGGCGGCGUGCCUAAUACAUGCAAGUCGAGCGAACGGACGAGAAGCUUGCUUCUCUGAUGUUAGCGGCGGACGGGUGAGUAACACGUGGAUAACCUACCUAUAAGACUGGGAUAACUUCGGGAAACCGGAGCUAAUACCGGAUAAUAUUUUGAACCGCGUGGUUCAAAAGUGAAAGACGGUCUUGCUGUCACUUAUAGAUGGAUCCGCGCUGCAUUAGCUAGUUGGUAAGGUAACGGCUUACCAAGGCAACGAUGCAUAGCCGACCUGAGAGAGUGAUAGGCCACACUGGAACUGAGACACGGUCCAGACUACUACGGGAGGCAGCAGUAGGGAAUCUUCCGCAAUAGGCGAAAGCCUGACGGAGCAACGCCGAGUGAGAGAUGAAGGUCUUCGGAUCGUAAAACUCUGUUAUUAGGGAAGAACAUAUGUGUAAGUAACUGUGCACAGAUUGACGGUACCUAAUCAGAAAGCCACGGCUAACUACGUG